Molecule: small nucleolar RNA, 138 nt
Filed under: Ornithorhynchus anatinus (platypus)
Lineage: Eukaryota; Metazoa; Chordata; Mammalia; Monotremata; Ornithorhynchidae
Source: RNAcentral
CCCCUCUCAAGGUCGCGCCUGGAGAGUUUCCAGUACUCUACCAAACUCAGCUAUGGGAGGGGGAGUCAAGCAGAGGCCUAUCCAUUCCAUUCCUAGCUUGGACAGUGGCUAGCGAGUGGAAGGCCAUCUGCUACAAGU